RNAcentral lists this ribosomal RNA (492 nucleotides) under uncultured bacterium. RNAcentral's name for it is "partial 16S ribosomal RNA". It matches the Rfam family "Bacterial small subunit ribosomal RNA", at positions 29 to 507 of the family's 1533-position model. The record is from RNAcentral.
AGUGAACGCUGGCGGUAGGCCUAACACAUGCAAGUCGAACGGCAGCACAGUAAGAGCUUGCUCUUACGGGUGGCGAGUGGCGGACGGGUGAGGAAUAUAUCGGAAUCUACUUUUUCGUGGGGGAUAACGUAGGGAAACUUACGCUAAUACCGCAUACGACCUACGGGUGAAAGCAGGGGAUCUUCGGACCUUGCGCGAUUGAAUGCGCCGAUGUCGGAUUAGCUAGUUGGCGGGGUAAUGGCCCACCAAGGCGACGAUCCGUAGCUGGUCUGAGAGGAUGAUCGGCCACACUGGAACUGAGACACGGUCCAGACUCCUACGGGAGGCAGCAGUGGGGAAUAUUGGACAAUGGGCGCAAGCCUGAUCCAGCCAUACCGCGUGGGUGAAGAAGGCCUUCGGGUUGUAAAGCCCUUUUGUUGGGAAAGAAAAGCAGCAGGUUAAUACGCCGCUGUUCUGACGGUACCCAAAGAAUAAGCACCGGCUAACUUCGUG